This 253-nucleotide ribosomal RNA is filed under the name uncultured bacterium. RNAcentral's name for it is "partial 16S ribosomal RNA". It matches the Rfam family "Bacterial small subunit ribosomal RNA", at positions 524 to 776 of the family's 1533-position model. The record is from RNAcentral.
UACGAGAGGCCCAAACGUUAUUCGGAAUUACUGGGCUUAAAGAGUUCGUAGGCGGUAUGACAAGUAGGGUGUGAAAGCCCUCGGCUCAACCGAGGAAUUGCGCUCUAAACUGCCGUACUAGAGGAAUCUAGAGGUGAGCGGAACUGAUGGUGGAGCGGUGAAAUGCGUUGAUAUCAUCAGGAACACCGGAGGCGAAGGCGGCUCACUGGGGAUUUUCUGACGCUGAGGAACGAAAGCCAGGGGAGCGAACGGG